This 253-nucleotide ribosomal RNA is filed under the name uncultured bacterium. RNAcentral's name for it is "partial 16S ribosomal RNA". It matches the Rfam family "Bacterial small subunit ribosomal RNA", at positions 524 to 776 of the family's 1533-position model. The record is from RNAcentral.
GACAGAGGUGCCAAGCGUUAGGCGGAAUCACUGGGCUUAAAGCGUGUGUAGGCGGAUCGUUAAGUACCUUGUGAAAUCCCACGGCUCAACCGUGGAACUGCUGGGUAUACUGGCGAUCUUGAGCCACCUAGGGGCGAGCGGAACAAGCGGUGGAGCGGUGAAAUGCGUAGAUAUGACAUAGAACACCAAUUGCGAAGGCAGCUGGCUACACAAAUAUUGACACUGAGGCACGAUAGCGUGGGGAUCAAACAGG